This 320-nucleotide ribosomal RNA is filed under the name uncultured eukaryote. Its description in RNAcentral is "partial 18S ribosomal RNA". It matches the Rfam family "Eukaryotic small subunit ribosomal RNA", at positions 1470 to 1796 of the family's 1831-position model. The record is from RNAcentral.
CCCUUAGAUGUUCUGGGCCGCACGCGCGCUACACUGAUUCAUGCAACAAGUUUUGUCCUUGGCUGAUAGGCCUGGGUAAUCUUUGAACGCUGUUCGUGAUUGGGAUAGACCUUUGCAAUUAUGGGUCUUCAACGAGGAAUUCCUAGUAAACGCAAGUCAUCAGCUUGCAUUGAUUACGUCCCUGCCCUUUGUACACACCGCCCGUCGCACCUACCGAUUGAAUGGUCCGGUGAAAUCUCGGGACGGCGGCUUGGUCGCUUGCGUCCGACUGCUGAAACUUGAUUAAACCAUAUCAUUUAGAGGAAGGUGGANUCGUANCA